AUUAAGAUUGAUAGGAGAUUCAGAGAGAGGAGAUUAGAAAAACAAACACAUGACACUGUAACUAGAUAUCAUCCUUCACGUCCUGUGACAUAUAGCCCAAGGGGUAAUGCAGAGGCCAUGGAUAUUGGGUUCAUUAAAGGACCGCUAACCCCAGAGGAAAAGUCUCAUCGCAAGGAACAUGCUCUCUGCAUGUAUUGUGCCUCCAAGGACCAUUCAGUCACGGACUGCCCAUCUCUGAAGAGACAGAAAUCUGUGGGAAAGACAGCGACUAAACCUUGAAGCCGUUGUGGACUCUGGCGCUUAUGCCAAUUACAUUGAUUCCUCUAUAGUAAAAAAUAAAAAUAUACCGUUUGUUGUGAAAGAAAA
Long non-coding RNA from Bombina bombina (fire-bellied toad), 366 nucleotides. RefSeq lists it as uncharacterized. Lineage: Eukaryota; Metazoa; Chordata; Amphibia; Anura; Bombinatoridae. The record is from RefSeq and is a predicted model, not a curated record. The transcript has 2 exons.